RNAcentral lists this long non-coding RNA (204 nucleotides) under Brassica rapa (field mustard). RNAcentral's name for it is "long non-coding RNA (BRAP_LNC003214)". The record is from RNAcentral. Lineage: Eukaryota; Viridiplantae; Streptophyta; Magnoliopsida; Brassicales; Brassicaceae.
UUUCUUCUACUUUUAAAAAUUGUGGAGAUUAAAUGUAAGAAAAUAAGAAAUGAAAAUCGGUGGAUCUAGAUUGAACAAUAGUAAUAUGAGACGUGUUGAAAACUCAAGAGGAUAGAUAGUGCCAUAUAGCCAGGAUGAACUCAUAAGAAUAAUUUUGUAUAGUAUUUUUAUUUAUUUUAAGAAAAUAAUAAAACUCAAUAUUAU